Pangasius djambal is the source of this 71-nucleotide non-coding RNA. NCBI's taxonomy places the organism in Eukaryota, Metazoa, Chordata, Actinopteri, Siluriformes, Pangasiidae. The record is from the annotation of a GenBank genome assembly.
UCCCUGAUGGACUAGUGGUUAGGCCAUAGCACUUUCAGUACUAUGGCGUGGGUUCGAUUCCCGGCCAGAAG